AAACAUCUAAGUACCUAGAGGAAGAGAAAGAAAAAUCGAUUUCCUUAGUAGCGGCGAGCGAAAGGGAAAGAGCCCAAACCAAAGAUUUAUCUUUGGGGUUGCGGACAGAACAUUAAAGUGGAGGCUAUUGUAAUUGAAGAGUACUGGAAAGUACCACCGUAGAAGGUAAUAGUCCUGUAAGUAAAACGAGAAGACCACGAGUUCUGAUCCAGAGUACCACGAGACACGUGAAACCUUGUGGGAAGCAGGGAGGACCACCUCCCAAGGCUAAAUACUACCUGAUGACCGAUAGUGAAGCAGUACCGUGAGGG
RNAcentral lists this ribosomal RNA (311 nucleotides) under Clostridium saudiense. RNAcentral's name for it is "partial 23S ribosomal RNA". It matches the Rfam family "Bacterial large subunit ribosomal RNA", at positions 196 to 509 of the family's 2925-position model. The record is from RNAcentral. Lineage: Bacteria; Bacillati; Bacillota; Clostridia; Eubacteriales; Clostridiaceae.